GAGCACGUAGGUGGGUUUGUAAGUCAGGUGUGAAAGCCUUCUGUUCAACGGAAAAAUUGCAUCUGAAACUGCGAGUCUUGAGUGUAGGAGGGGAGAAUGGAACUUCUGGUGGAGCGGUGAAAUGCGUAGAUAUCAGAAGGAACGCCGGCGGCGAAAGCGAUUCUCCGGCCUAUUACUGACACUCAGUGUGCGAAAGCUAGGGGAGCAAACGGGAUUAGAUACCCCGGUAGUCCUAGCCGUAAACGAUGGGCACUAAGUAGAGGGG
RNAcentral lists this ribosomal RNA (265 nucleotides) under uncultured bacterium. Its description in RNAcentral is "partial 16S ribosomal RNA". It matches the Rfam family "Bacterial small subunit ribosomal RNA", at positions 565 to 828 of the family's 1533-position model. The record is from RNAcentral.